CAAAAAAUAGUUUAAAUUUAAAACGUUAUCUUUGGAAGAUGGGGAUCGGUUUUAUAUCGUUUUUUGA
RNAcentral lists this transfer RNA (67 nucleotides) under Parantropora penelope. Its description in RNAcentral is "tRNA-Pro". The record is from RNAcentral. Lineage: Eukaryota; Metazoa; Bryozoa; Gymnolaemata; Cheilostomatida; Antroporidae.